Molecule: ribosomal RNA, 449 nt
Filed under: uncultured bacterium
Lineage: Bacteria
Description: bacterial SSU rRNA
Rfam family: Bacterial small subunit ribosomal RNA
Source: RNAcentral
UGGGGAAUUUUGCGCAAUGGGCGAAAGCCUGACGCAGCAACGCCGCGUGGAGGAUGAAGGUCUUUGGAUUGUAAACUCCUGUCAGCAGGGAAAAAGCGACUCGGCCUCAUACGCCGGGGAGUUGAUUGUACCUGCAGAGGAAGCCCCGGCUAACUCUGUGCCAGCAGCCGCGGUAAUACAGAGGGGGCAAGCGUUAUUCGGAAUUAUUGGGCGUAAAGGGCGCGUAGGCGGCCUGGCAAGUGGAAGGUGAAAUCCCUCGGCUUAACCGAGGAACUGCCCUCCAAACUGCUUGGCUUGAGACCGGGAGAGGUGAGUGGAAUUCCCAGUGUAGCGGUGAAAUGCGUAGAUAUUGGGAGGAACACCAGUGGCGAAGGCGGCUCACUGGACCGGUACUGACGCUGAGGCGCGAAAGCGUGGGGAGCAAACGGGAUUAGAUACCCCCGUAGUCC